Molecule: long non-coding RNA, 443 nt
Organism: Oreochromis niloticus (Nile tilapia)
Lineage: Eukaryota; Metazoa; Chordata; Actinopteri; Cichliformes; Cichlidae
Exons: 3
Source: RefSeq, a predicted model, not a curated record
UGUGUCGCUGUGCAGGGAACUACACUUUGGAAUGUGUUGAUAACUCCUGUGACCCCACUGAAGAGUGUCGAGAGGUUAAUGGUGUUGCAGGCUGCUAUCCUAAAGGUACAUCCACGUGCGUCGCAUCUGGUGAUCCACACUACACCAGCUUUGACAAACGCAAAUAUGACUUCAUGGGCAACUGCAGCUAUCUGAUGUCUAGUCCAUGCAAUGACACAACUGUGCCCUACUUUGAGGUCCAUACUGACAAUGAAACCGGUAUAACAGGCCGACCAUCUCCUAUGUGAAGGCCGUACAUGUAUACGCACAGAUGGUAAAGAUCUCCAUUCUCAAAGGUGGCACUGUGCAGGUUAAUGGGACCAAUGUCAAUCUGCCACUGUCCCCGGCCCCUGGUAUUUCUGUGUUCAAGUCAGGAAAACACUACACUGUCUCCAUGAACUUUG